This 253-nucleotide ribosomal RNA is filed under the name uncultured bacterium. RNAcentral's name for it is "partial 16S ribosomal RNA". It matches the Rfam family "Bacterial small subunit ribosomal RNA", at positions 524 to 776 of the family's 1533-position model. The record is from RNAcentral.
UACAGAGGAUCCAAGCGUUAUCCGGAUUUAUUGGGUUUAAAGGGUGCGUAGGCGGCCUAUUAAGUCAGGGGUGAAAGACGGUGGCUCAACCAUCGCAGUGCCUUUGAUACUGAUGGGCUUGAUUACACUUGAGGUAGGCGGAAUGUGACAAGUAGCGGUGAAAUGCAUAGAUAUGUCACAGAACACCAAUUGCGAAGGCAGCUUACUAAGGUGUUAAUGACGCUGAGGCACGAAAGCGUGGGGAGCAAACAGG